This is a non-coding RNA of Ictidomys tridecemlineatus (thirteen-lined ground squirrel), 72 nucleotides long. Lineage: Eukaryota; Metazoa; Chordata; Mammalia; Rodentia; Sciuridae. The record is from Rfam.
GGGGGUGAGGCUCAGCAGUAGAGCGCUCACCUUGCACGUGCGAGACCCUGCGUUCGAUCCUCAGCACCACAU